RNAcentral lists this transfer RNA (69 nucleotides) under Roseovarius sp. Its description in RNAcentral is "tRNA-Lys". It matches the Rfam family "tRNA". Rfam says of the family: Transfer RNA (tRNA) molecules are approximately 80 nucleotides in length. Their secondary structure includes four short double-helical elements and three loops (D, anti-codon, and T loops). Lineage: Bacteria; Pseudomonadati; Pseudomonadota; Alphaproteobacteria; Rhodobacterales; Roseobacteraceae. The record is from RNAcentral.
UAGCUCAGUUGGUAGAGCAACUGACUUUUAAUCAGUGGGUCGCAGGUUCGAAUCCUGCACGGCUCACCA